RNAcentral lists this ribosomal RNA (254 nucleotides) under uncultured prokaryote. Its description in RNAcentral is "partial 16S ribosomal RNA". It matches the Rfam family "Bacterial small subunit ribosomal RNA", at positions 524 to 776 of the family's 1533-position model. The record is from RNAcentral.
CACGUAGGGGGCGAGCGUUGUCCGGAUUUAUUGGGCGUAAAGAGCUCGUAGGCGGUUCGGCAAGUCGGGUGUGAAAUUUCGAGGCUCAACCUCGAAACGCCACUCGAUACUGCCAUGACUGGAGUCCGGUAGAGGAGUGUGGAAUUCCUGGUGUAGCGGUGAAAUGCGCAGAUAUCAGGAGGAACACCAACGGCGAAGGCAGCACUCUGGGCCGGUACUGACGCUGAGGAGCGAAAGCGUGGGGAGCAAACAGG